UACGUAGGGUGCGAGCGUUAAUCGGAAUUACUGGGCGUAAAGCGCACGUAGGCGGCUUCUUAAGUCAGGGGUGAAAUCCCCGAGCUCAACUCGGGAACUGCGUCCGAUACUGGCGGGCUUGAAUCCGGGAGAGGGAUGCGGAAUUCCAGGUGUAGCGGUGAAAUGCGUAGAUAUCUGGAGGAACACCGGUGGCGAAGGCGGCAUCCUGGACCGGCAUUGACGCUGAGGCGCGAAAGCUAGGGGAGCAAACGGG
This 253-nucleotide ribosomal RNA is filed under the name uncultured bacterium. Its description in RNAcentral is "partial 16S ribosomal RNA". It matches the Rfam family "Bacterial small subunit ribosomal RNA", at positions 524 to 776 of the family's 1533-position model. The record is from RNAcentral.